CCUGGCAAAAGAUUGGCUGAUAAAGCUGACCUCUAUAAUCCCAUCACUGAGGGGUGUCUUAUCUUGAAGCCUGCUGGAAAGAAGGAAGGAAGGAAAGGAAACUGUCUCCCCCUCUAAACUAGGCUAGUGGGUUUGUGCAUACAAGCAGCAAUGCUAAGAAUUCAUACUUUAAGAGAGGAGAGAUUUAAAGGAAACUUCGUGACAACAGAGCUGAGCUGAAAGUGGAUGUGUUUACAUGGAGGGUAGAGGAAAAUGACAGAUAUUCAACUUCAGCCUGGGAAGAGAAUGUGAAUGAUUUUGUUCUCCUGAAGGAUCAUGAAAAAGAUUAAUCCACGGGGCUUCUCUAUGACUAUCCCAGCACCCCAAGUGAAGUGGCUGCUUACAGCCUCUGUGACUGAAAAAGUGCAACAGCUCGGCUUGCUCUGUGGUCCAUAGAGAAGGUGCAGCCUUUAAGAGAAGGUAAGUGUCAUGGACUCGGAUCAUUUGUGGACACAGGCAAGGCUGAGACCACUAAGCAUAAUGUAUUACAUAUUUUUUUAGCAUCAGAUUGCCCUGAGAGGAUUUGUUCUUUCUGAUUUCCAAGCACAAAAAAAGAUAUCUGUAUUACACAAAGUUCAGAAAAGAUAAGAGGAAAAAAAAAAAACAAAAAAACAAAAAAAAAACAAACACCAGAGUGUCUCCGGGCUUCUCUACUGUGCCAUUCUCCUGUUACUGGUCAUUUUCAUGACUGGCUUCUACUAUUAUCUGCUCGAAAACUAAUAUUAAAGACUAUAUAGCAGUCUACAGUAUAUAGUUUAUAACAGUGACAGCCAGCACCUGGAAAAAAUUAACUGCUAUCACCUGAAGGAAGCAUAAUACCAAGGUAAGAUUGUUUAUAUUUUCAGCGCUCUCCUCCUCCUGCUUUGUAUUCUCUUAAUCCGGGAUUAAAUACUAAUUGUGGCUAAGUACUUGAAAAGCUCAUCAAUUAAUGGGAUUUUUAGGAAGCCAACAUGUCGGAGGUUUGAACAGGAAGUUGUGGGGCGUGAUUCUUAAUAUCUUGUAUUUUGUAGACAUUUGUGCAGAGCAAGCACAAAUCAAAUAAAAGCAAGGUCUCUUCUGAAUGAAGUGGUAUAACUGUAAUUUUUGCAUAGAUAAUAGUAGCAAGUAGUUAUUCUGUACAGAAUGAGGUAUUUAUGACCGUGGCAUAAUGUUGCAGUGUAGAUGAAUACAGGCCUGGCGUGACAGUAGAGACCUUGCAAGUGAAGACAGAGGAUGCAGUGUAGAGGAGUACAGGCAUGGGGUGACAAGAGAAGGGGAGUGGAGGAUGUUAGUGGAGACUUCAGGGCUAUACAUAGCUCAGCAGCAAACAGUUAAAGAAACGCAGACCUGAGAGCUGAGCAAAACUGGCUUAGGAGUAGUAAAGAGAAUAAAUAACAAGUAUCCAAGAUACUUCAUGUACAAUAAAUUCAGACGUAAUGUGGAGUUACAGACCAAUGAAGAAGGGUAAGGUGUAAAGCAACAGACAGAAAAUGUAUAAGAAUAGCCCCAAGUGACCCUUAAAAAGAGAAGCAACAAAAGCAUCAGAUUCAGCAUCAUGGCCCUCCCUGCCAAGAGGAAGGAAAGACCUCUACCAUGAACAUCAUACUCCUCUCAGUGAAAAACCUGGAAAAUUGAGGACUCACCGUAACAACUUCCUCCUCCUAGUAAAGCCAACAGCCUCAAG
This is a long non-coding RNA of Dromaius novaehollandiae (emu), 1702 nucleotides long. RefSeq lists it as uncharacterized. The transcript has 3 exons. The record is from RefSeq and is a predicted model, not a curated record. NCBI's taxonomy places the organism in Eukaryota, Metazoa, Chordata, Aves, Casuariiformes, Dromaiidae.